This 445-nucleotide ribosomal RNA is filed under the name uncultured bacterium. RNAcentral describes it as "partial 16S ribosomal RNA". It matches the Rfam family "Bacterial small subunit ribosomal RNA", at positions 354 to 796 of the family's 1533-position model. The record is from RNAcentral.
GUGAGGAAUAUUGGUCAAUGGGCGAGAGCCUGAACCAGCCAAGUCGCGUGAAGGAUGAAGGUUUUAUGAAUUGUAAACUUCUUUUGCAGGGGAAUAAAGUACGGUACGUGUACCGUUUUGUAUGUACUCUGCGAAUAAGGAUCGGCUAACUCCGUGCCAGCAGCCGCGGUAAUACGGAGGAUCCAAGCGUUAUCCGGAUUUAUUGGGUUUAAAGGGUGCGCAGGCGGGUUGAUAAGUCAGCGGUGAAAGUUUGCAGCUUAACUGUAAAAUUGCCGUUGAAACUGUCGAUCUUGAGUGCAAAUGAGGUAAGCGGAAUGUGUUGUGUAGCGGUGAAAUGCUUAGAUAUAACACAGAACACCGAUUGCGAAGGCAGCUUACUGGGAUGCAACUGACGCUGAGGCGCGAAAGCGUGGGGAGCAAACAGGAUUAGAUACCCCGGUAGUCC